This 1244-nucleotide long non-coding RNA is filed under the name Strigops habroptila (Kakapo). Its description in RNAcentral is "lncRNA (ENSSHBG00005016106.1)". The record is from RNAcentral. Lineage: Eukaryota; Metazoa; Chordata; Aves; Psittaciformes; Psittacidae.
AGUUAAAUCCAGAUGGGUCUGUUGAGCAGAGCAACUCCUCGCCAACUCCUCCUAUUCUACCACCCUCCUGCCUUGGCAUCCAGAGCAGGCAUCGCUGGCCAUUCUCAAAUGCGGUCACGUAGCUGGUCAGAGUAAAAAGAAGAGGGGCUUUUUCUUCAGAGGAGAAGAGCUCUUCAAAAAUCUUGGGUCCAGUAAGAAAAAUUAGGGAAAAGUGUACGUUGAAGAGAGAAAACUCUUCAGUGGGUCUGCGAGCUGUGGUCUCUGCUGAGAGCGCGGCCAUGGGUGCCCACCCAGUGCGGGCAGUGGCUCUGAACACAGCGUCAUGGCACUGGGGUGUGUGAGGCCUCAGCUCUAGGACACAGCUACCUCCACAGGAGAGUGUCCUGCCCCGGGCAGCCCUCAGUGCACCAGUUGCCUGUAAAUAUUUUAAUUUAAAACUUACAUUCUGGCUGUAAGUUUGCUAAAUGGCUUUCCCCAGCAAAGCCCCGGCCCCUGAGGAGGAGAUCCCUUGUCCUCCACACCCUGGUAUUUCUCUGGUCCAAAGGAGGUUGUGUCAACUCCUUCGCUUCCUGCAAAGAAAAUUUGCACUUCUCUGUUCCUGUGAAUCCCCUUUGCUGUCUCUGAGCUGAGGAGUGAGUUCUUUGUUCUGUCAGCCUGUAAACAUGCAGCUGUGCCUAGGAGCAUCCCACACCGCCUCAGUCCUGUUUGGCACCAUCAUUCCCGUGCAGGAAGGAGUGAUACCCUGAAGGGGUCCAUACUUCUGCCUGUGGGCUGGGCUGCUGGAAGCUGCUCCUGUGGUUCACCUUGACCACACACUGGCUGGGGACCCCACCUUAUUUAGUUCUUUAUUAUUUCUCUCAUUUAUUUGUGUAUUUGGUUGGUUGGAUGGUGUCUGCCUCUUUCACAGUUUUCUUUGGCUGUUUCAAUGGACUGCUCCCGAGUUGGAGAGUUUGGAAAGCAGAGCUGGGGUAGGAGAGAUUGCAGCUAUUUUCAUAUGAGGUGAUGUGUUCCUUGAGUUCAGACACAUUCCUUUCUAAGCCACGGAGAGUUUUGUACUACAUGGUUUCUAUCCUUUUCAACGUUUCUUUCUUUGCCUGUUUCGGGGGGGUACUUGUUUUGAGAAGGACAGUUCCCUGAGAAUGUUGCCAGGAAAUGAUGCCAGCAAAGUGUCCAGAGUGUUGGUGAUGUGGUAUGUUUUUAUUUAAUAUCAAAUUUUAUUAUAAUAAAGUCUAUUUUCACAAAAA